GACGAACGCUGGCGGCGCGCUUAAUACAUGCAAGUCGAGCGAGAACUAGGGCUUCGGCCCUGGGGACAGCGGCGAACGGGUGAGUAACACGUGGGUAAUCAACCCCCGACACCGGGAUAGCCCAGGGAAACUUGGAUUAAUACCGGAUGCCCCAUCUGGCUUUCGAGCCGGCUGGAAAAGGGUAGCUUCGGCCUCCGGUCGGGGACGAGCCCGCGGCGGAUUAGCUUGUUGGUGAGGUAAAGGCUCACCAAGGCGACGAUCCGUAGCUGGUCUGAGAGGACGCUCAGCCACACUGGGACAGAGACACGGCCCAGACUCCUACGGGAGGCAGCAGUAGGGAAUCUUGCGCAAUGGCGAAAGCCUGACGCAGCGACGCCGCGUGAGGGAAGAAGGCCUUCGGGUUGUAAACCUCUUUCAGGAGGGACGAAGCCACUCGGGUUAAUAGCCUAGAGGGUGACGGUACCUCCAGAAGAAGCCCCGGCUAACUACGUGCCAGCCGCCGCGGUAA
Molecule: ribosomal RNA, 508 nt
Filed under: uncultured bacterium
Lineage: Bacteria
Description: partial 16S ribosomal RNA
Rfam family: Bacterial small subunit ribosomal RNA
Source: RNAcentral